This 111-nucleotide ribosomal RNA is filed under the name Castor canadensis (American beaver). Lineage: Eukaryota; Metazoa; Chordata; Mammalia; Rodentia; Castoridae. The record is from RNAcentral.
GCCUGCAGCCAUACCAACCUGAACACACCUGAUCUCGUCUGAUCCUGGAAACUAAGCAGGAUGGGCCUGGUUAGCACAUGGAUGGGAGACAGGAGGAUUAGAUGAAGGGCC